GCGGUGCCAUGUCCGCACCCGGGAUCUGAACCGGCGAACCCCGGGCCACCGAAGCGGAACGUGUGCACUUAACCGCUGCGCCACCAGGCUGGCCCCUCAACCUCAUUCUUGCUUUUGAUUCUUCCAGAUACUAAACUAUGACAGCAAACAGCCCUUUCCUCCCAAGAAACACAUAAAAAUGUAAAUUAAGGGUGAUCAGGUUUGGGUUAACAAAGCAUCAUCAGACACUUUGGGGUGAUGCCGGAAUUACUGUCUUCUAGAUGAAGAAUGAGAGGAAAUGGUCAGAGGUGGUAGCAAUGGGAAUCUGGUUGCUUUUGCAUGGUUUUCCCACCUGGCAGCAAAUGCAACACAACAAAAAGAAGAUGGAGCAGAGCGAUGUGCCUCAGUCCCCAUUUUCUGAGUUCCUUUUUUAGGUGGCAAAACAAGGCAGUGGAGUGGUGUCCUAUCCUGUCCUAUGUGUGCAGCCCAGUUGUGCUAACCUUAUGCCUAAUGCCUGUGGCUCUCUCGAGGAGGGAAGGGGAAGGAGGGGGCUGGUGGAAUGCUCUGUGCCCAAGUGGGGAACUUGCCUUGGAGCCACGGCAAGAACAGAGUGUUCCUGUUCCCCCAGCCCCCACCCAGCUCUGGCUGCAGCGGGGCUGCGCUCUGCUAGCACCCUGCCUCAUGCACUGUCCACACUUCGGCAGUAACCAGGAACCUAGAGGGCAGGACAGUUCACGUAAGCAUCAUGUCUAUAUGUUGGUGACUCCCAAAUUUACUUCCCUAGCCUGCACCUCCCUCUUGGAUCAAGGUGCUUACCGCCAAGUGCUUAUUUGACAUCUCUACUUGGGCGUCUAAUAGGCAUCUUAAACUUUACCUAAGUGUGGUAGAUCCUUAAAUAAUGGUCCUCAGUGAAUCAACCUCUCUCCCCUAUGUUCUUUUGCAAUAAAAGUUUACUGCUCCUCCCACUCAAGAGGCCGUGCUUUUUCUCCAACUGCUGUUUGAACCUGCGUUUGCCUUGUGACUUGCUUUGACCAAUAGAACGUGCCAUUGUGUAAGUUCCAGACCUUAGGCCCUAAGAGGUCUUGCAGUUUCCUCACUGGCCCUCUUAAAAUUCAGCUGCACGUAAGAAGCCUGGACUAGCAUCCUUGAGGAUGUGAGACCACAUAGGGAAAGAGGCCCUGAAACCACACGGAACCAUCCCAACAGCCAAGCCUCCAGGCAAACACAAGCUACAGACAGCACACUGGUGAGACCAGAAGACCGACACUCCAGUCAACCCACAGAAAUUUCCUAGACCUGAAAUCUGAUGAAUGAGAAAGUGGCAAGUCUCCAGGAAGAAGGACCCUGCAAUAUCACAACAGAGUCUGCUUCAGGUCACAUGUUGCCCUGGAGAACCAAGAAGGGCGAGCAAACCAACAACCAGUUAUGGCCCCAAAAAGCCAGAGGAUGGAAGAAAGCAAAGUCUUUAUUAUCAAACAAGAAAUAUGCAAUUUACAAAGGAAAUUGUUACAAGUUCUCUUUUUUUACAUGAUGUUGUUGAAAUAAAAUCUAGUAGAUGUAUCUAUUGGUAAGGAAAAGACCAAAACAAUGCCGGGCAGUGACAUGAAAGUAACAUAAUGACAUCAAAGUAACAUAAUACUGUAAUCUACUUGACAUUCUCUGAUGAUACACUACAACACGGCAGCCUGUAAUUUCCUACUGAUUAACAUGCCAAGAAAAUGCCAGUUACUUAUUGGAAUGUAAAAUUUGGAUGAUUUUCAUUGAUGUGGGGGGUUACACACGUGGGUAUGUGUGUAUGUGGCUUCUCUCUCCCACUUUUUACAAAAGUUGAUUCUGAUUAUUAACUUUUGAGUAAAAGUUGUCAUCAUGCUAUCAUUAAAAACCAUUUAUUAAAUCUCCAAAUUGCAAAGUAUGUUUUGUCUUUGAUUGUAACCAUUUGUUUAUUUACCUUUCUUUCAACUAGUCAGUGAGCAGUUUACAAAGGUACUCAAUAAACGUCUGCACAAGGUUAUCUAACCUGAAUUUUAAAAAAAGAGAAUUACACAGCACAAUAAAAGCAUAAUAACAAUAAUGAAAAUAUAAAAGGGUAUUAAGUGGCUGGCCGGAAGGCCAGGUUCCUAUUCUAGCUCUGCUCCUUCUUGGUUGUUUGACCUUGCACGGGUCUCAAUUCCUAAAUCUAUUUCCUCAUCUGCAAAAUGGAACUACUCAUAUUUGCUCCACUUACCUCAUAGGGUUAUUGUAAGAAUCACAUAAGUCCAUGGAUUUUAAGGUGUUUUCAAACUGUAAAGUAUCUUGCUAAUGGUACUUAUUUUUUCAGUGAAAACAUUUUUAAAGUGACAUGCAUUUUACUAGGAUGUAAAAUAUGAUUGGCAAAACAGACUCAAGAAUUCCAAGCCAAGGCAGAAGGAGAGCAGGGAAGCCCCCACUCGCCUCACGGGUCCUGCAGUAGUCGAGAGGGGACCUACGCCUGCUCUCUGCUAUUUAUUAUUUACGUGUCUUCUCUGAGUUUCCAUUUCUUUAUAUCAAUCUCUCUGAACCUCAGUUACACCAUCUGUUCCAUGGGAAAAAAACAUGCCUUACUGACCCCAGAUGGUUUUCUAGGAGGCUCAGAUUAGAUCAUUGUUGCUCAGGUCUCUUUGCUGGCCAUAAAGUGCUAUACAAAUGUAAAGAAAUCUGGUAAUAUUUUCUAAAAGGUGAUGAGCUUCCAGGAAUAGUUUCAAUACAGCGCACAGUCUGAGGGUGUGGGAGGCUUACACUGGUAGGCACAUCCCAGGAAAGAACAGAAUACGCUUCACUGUCUUGAGUUGGAUUACAUAUUGCCUCACAAACUCCAUGCUGGCAAGGCCUUGGAAAAGAGCAAAACGAAACAUAGGCCCUUUCACAUUCACUAGCUUAUUAAAUCUUCCCAACACGGGUGCCAACCAGGAAUUAUUACGCCCAUUUUAUUGAAGCUUGAAGAUGUUGAGACUUUCCCAAGAUCAUGCAACUGGGAAAUGGCUGCAUCUGAAACGAACUCUUCCAGCAUGAGUGGGAGAGGACAAAGGGUGCUUAAACGGAAGGGAAAAACUAGGGGGAGGUGGCCUUACACAAAUGGCCCCUUUCUCAUUCCUCCCUGACACAACUCUCUAUUCAAUUCAUCAAAUCUAUUUUCUGUCUCUUACAAAUACUUCACGUCUCUCACUAUGGCUACAGCGCCCAGAGAAACAACUGUAACAGCAGGUGGAUUUAGGAUGUGAUAGGGUGACAGCCAUAGAUGGGCAAGAAGGCAUUUCUACCGGAGCAAGGCUGGUCACUGUUCACAGCUGCAGCAGCCUCCUCCCCGAAAAGAUCUUUAACUGGUGCAGUGGCCGGGGCUAGCUUCAAUCCAUCCCUGAUAGAAAUGCCUGGUUCUUAGGGCCGGCCCGGUGGCGCAGUGGUUAAGUGCACACGUUCGGCUUCGGCAGCCCGGGGUUCGCCAGUUUGGAUCCCAGGUGCAGACACGGCACCGCUUGGCAAGCCAUGCUGUGGCAGGUGUCCCAUGUAUAAAGUAGAGGAAGAUGGGCACCGAUGUUAGCUCAGGGCCUAAGUCACAUCCCAACUCUACACAUAGACUCCGAGGUCUGCGUAAAUACCCUCUGCUCUCCACCUCCACCCUCAUAAAUACGUUCGCCCUGAGGCUCAGGCGAGUUAACAGCAGUUCCUCAGCCACAAAAAUACUAGGGCUCCCUGUUUACGCAUAAACCUGUCUUCACCACCUAGAAUUCCUCCCUCAUUAAGUUAUGUCUCUUCUCUUAUUUAAAAUCUAAUUCAAACACCAAAUUGGAAACAGCUCCAAUGACCAUCAGUUUGGAGAACAAUUUAAAUAAAUUAUGAUAACACGUUCAUUCAAUGGACUAUUAAGCAAUCAUUAAAAAGAAUGAAGUGGAUACGGCAAGACUGCCAAAAUAUAAUGUCAAG
Long non-coding RNA from Equus caballus (horse), 3915 nucleotides. RefSeq lists it as uncharacterized. NCBI's taxonomy places the organism in Eukaryota, Metazoa, Chordata, Mammalia, Perissodactyla, Equidae. The record is from RefSeq and is a predicted model, not a curated record.